CCUACCACUUUACAGCCAAACACCUUCGAGUUGAUCUACAGGUAGAGGGGAAGAGGAACAGAACAUGUCUCCACUUCGGCCUCUCGAAACAAGAUGCUGUACCAGUGUUGCCUGAGAGUGUAGGACAGACAUACUUCUUCACAGCCGUUUAUCAGCUCCCUCGUGUCAACAUCAACAAUGCAAGGAAUCUGUAUACAAGAGAAUCAGCACAUCACUUUAAAACAGGUCGGCACAUACUACAAGUCUCAGAACUAUCCCUGGAUUUAAGGUG
Haliotis rubra (blacklip abalone) is the source of this 271-nucleotide long non-coding RNA. RefSeq lists it as uncharacterized. The record is from RefSeq and is a predicted model, not a curated record. Lineage: Eukaryota; Metazoa; Mollusca; Gastropoda; Lepetellida; Haliotidae. The transcript is spliced from 3 exons.